UGGCCUAUGGUGUAAUUGGCAGCACGACGGUUUCUGGUUCCGUUAGUCUAGGUUCGAGUCCUGGUAGGCCAGC
Molecule: transfer RNA, 73 nt
Filed under: Streptomyces olivochromogenes
Lineage: Bacteria; Bacillati; Actinomycetota; Actinomycetes; Kitasatosporales; Streptomycetaceae
Also listed under: 19 other names
Description: tRNA-Gln
Rfam family: tRNA
About the family: Transfer RNA (tRNA) molecules are approximately 80 nucleotides in length.
Source: RNAcentral